UACGUAGGGGGCUAGCGUUGUCCGGAUUUAUUGGGCGUAAAGAGCGUGUAGGCGGCCAGGUAGGUCUGCUGUGAAAACUCGAGGCUCAACCUCGAGACGUCGGCGGAAACCAUCUGGCUAGAGUCCGGAAGAGGAGAGUGGAAUUCCUGGUGUAGCGGUGAAAUGCGCAGAUAUCAGGAGGAACACCAAUAGCGAAGGCAGCUCGCUGGGACGUUACUGACACUAAGGCGCGAAAGCGUGGGGAGCGAACAGG
This 253-nucleotide ribosomal RNA is filed under the name uncultured bacterium. RNAcentral's name for it is "partial 16S ribosomal RNA". It matches the Rfam family "Bacterial small subunit ribosomal RNA", at positions 524 to 776 of the family's 1533-position model. The record is from RNAcentral.